Molecule: ribosomal RNA, 387 nt
Filed under: uncultured eukaryote
Lineage: Eukaryota
Description: SSU rRNA
Rfam family: Eukaryotic small subunit ribosomal RNA
Source: RNAcentral
AGCUCUGUAAGCGUAUACCAAAGUUGUUGCAGUUAAAACGCUCGUAGUCGGAUUUUGGCGUGGUGCUUAUUAGAUGCCCAACAUUUUUGGUGUGUCGAUUUAUAGUCCCGCCUUUGUGGAAGGGGGCGUGGUGGUUCUUUAUUGGAUUGCUGCGUUUCCGCCACUGUUUACUGUGAAAAAAUUAGAGUGUUCAAAGCGAGCGAUUGCCAAAUGAAUAGAUUAGCAUGGAAUAAUAGAAUAGGACCUGGUUCUGUUUUAUUGGUUUGUCGGAUUCAGGUAAUGAUUAAGAGGGACGGUCGGGGGCAUUUGUAUUCCAGGGUUAGAGGUGAAAUUCUUAGAUCCUUGGAAGACAAACAGCUGCGAAAGCGUCUGCCAAGGACGUUUUCA